GACGAACGCUGGCGGCGUGCUUAACACAUGCAAGUCGAACGGAAAGGCCCUGCUUUUGUGGGGUGCUCGAGUGGCGAACGGGUGAGUAACACGUGAGUAACCUGCCCUUGACUUUGGGAUAACUUCAGGAAACUGGGGCUAAUCCCGUAUAGGAGCUCCUGCUGCAUGGAGGGGGUUGGAAAGUUUCGGCGGUUGGGGCUGGACUCGCGGCUUAUCAGCUUGUUGGUGGGGUAGGGGCUUACCAAGGCUUUGACGGGUAGCCGGCCUGGGAGGGUGACCGGCCACAUUGGGACUGAGAUACGGCCCAGACUCCUACGGGAGGCAGCAGUGGGGAAUAUUGCACAAUGGGCGGAAGCCUGAUGCAGCAACGCCGCGUGCGGGAUGACGGCCUUCGGGUUGUAAACCGCUUUCGCCUGUGACGAAGCGUGAGUGACGGUAAUGGGUAAAGAAGCACCGGCUAACUACGUG
RNAcentral lists this ribosomal RNA (468 nucleotides) under uncultured bacterium. Its description in RNAcentral is "partial 16S ribosomal RNA". It matches the Rfam family "Bacterial small subunit ribosomal RNA", at positions 28 to 507 of the family's 1533-position model. The record is from RNAcentral.